UAUAAACCCAUUAAACUUCUCCCUCAAAGCAAGGAAACCCUACUCUGUUACUGCUCUUCCUAGGAAGUCAUCGCUACUCAUUGAAACAAACCACGAGGAUGAGUGCUGGUGGUUUGAAGAGCAUGCUGGCUUCGGCGGUUGUAGCUGGGGUUACUGAAGCUAGAGCUAGAAUAUUUGGACAUAUACUUAACCCAACAGGGCAGAGAUCACCCCAUAAGACUUUACGCAAAAAGCUCAUUGGUGAGAAGGUUGCAGAUUGGUACCCAUAUGACAUCAAGAAUGAUGAUCCACUGGUCAUGGCCCGACAAGAACAAGAACGCUUAUCCAAGCUUGAAAUGUUGAAGAGACGUGGUAAGGGACCACCUAAGAAAGGCCAAGGCAGACGUGCUGUUAAACGCAACAAGUAGAGGCUUUUCUAGUGAUGCUCUGAAUUCUUGACUCUGCCUGAUGUUAGUGUGCAUGCCCUCAGACACCCACCCAAACUGAUUCUCCUUACAAUAGUAGACAGGUUCUUGGCAUACCAUGUUGGUCAUCCAUGGGGAACCAAAUUUCAAUAAAUAUAAGAUUGUUGAGCUACCUUUGUCCUACUCCACCAAAAUUUGUCUGAAUUUCAGAAAUUGGAAGUCUGUCAUUUUUUAUGGUAUGUCUCUUUUCACUUUCCCUGGAAAUGGAGAGAGCACUUCAUGUAAAGUCAACAUUGGUUUCUGGCUGCAAUAAACCAUUACACAAUUGCCCAAUUUUGUGUCGCUGUCCUUAGGCAUUACCUUCCCAACUGCUUGAUCAUUUUUGCAGAUCAAAUACUUGCUUGUCCAGACUCAGUUUGGAUGUCAAUGUAGGAAGGGGUGCCACUUUUUUAAACUUAAAUUUCAAUGUCAUAAUGAAUUACCUAGAGGUGCAAGAGGAGUUUUUCUGCCUUGUACUUUGGGCUGGUGGCAGACAAUGGUUGGGUUUAGUACUUCCAUUUAUUUCAAGAUACUACAAGUAUGCAGUGAUGAUAAUUUUCUGAGUUCUCUGAUC
RNA transcript from Theobroma cacao (cacao), 1017 nucleotides. It is a transcript of the gene named 37S ribosomal protein S27, with no coding region annotated. The record is from RefSeq and is a predicted model, not a curated record. Lineage: Eukaryota; Viridiplantae; Streptophyta; Magnoliopsida; Malvales; Malvaceae.